RNAcentral lists this unclassified non-coding RNA (1804 nucleotides) under Melitaea cinxia (Glanville fritillary). RNAcentral's name for it is "misc RNA ENSMCXG00005021373.1". Lineage: Eukaryota; Metazoa; Arthropoda; Insecta; Lepidoptera; Nymphalidae. The record is from RNAcentral.
UGUUUGUCUGAUACUGUCUAAAUCAUCUGCAAUAGACUAAGGCCAAUGAUAAAACACUUAAUUUGCUAAAAACUAUUUUUAUGUGUUUCAAUUAUGAAGAAAGUAAUGUUCAUAACAAAGGGAGCACUAGGAGCACUUCUUACUCACUGCAAUCAUUGAUGUUUUUUUGUUUUUUUUAUUUAUCAGUUUUUUUUUAAACAAAGAAAAAAAUUAAAUAGGAUACCACAAAACUUACUACUGACACAGCUUCAUUAGCAUUUCGGUAUCUUAUUUUCAUUCAAAACUUUUUUUUAUCGAUCGUGUAUUGUUUUUACCGUUUCCUGAACACUAUAGACUCUUCUGGUGUAAAAUUUUUUUGAAAUCUUUUUUUUAGUGAUGGUAUUUUACUAAGCCAGAUUAAAUAUAAUUAUGACAAGAUGACGAAUACAUUAUUCAUUUUCUAUUUCCUUUAUAGGAGUCAUAAUUUAAAAAAAUGUAGACUGCUGUAUAUCGCUUUAAAUAAAGUAAAAACGUCGAUUCAAGUAGCCUAACAUAAAUUUUUGCGCGAUAUUGAUUCAAAGGCAAAAAUAAUAUACAAAAUGAAAAUAUGUAUAACAUUCGACAUAUCUAACCUGUGUACUAUUUGAAUAAAGUAUAUUUUUACGACUAUCUUCAUAUACUUAUGUAGUACGUAGCGAGAGCAUGUUAUUUUAAAAAUUCAAUAUUGCUAAACGUAGUUGGACUGGGGGAUAUAUCAUGUGAAAGCAAUUUGAGCACCUCUUUCUGAGCACUAAGCAUUAUUUAUGGUAAGCCCUUCGCAUUCAGUGGAUUGCCCAUUGAGUUUCAAAGGAUUUUUUUAAGUGUUAAAUUUGUCGCACCGCUUAAAGCGAACCUUUAAUAACCAAAACUCGAAGUCCAAUAAUAAUAUUUCGCCUCGGUAUCCGUAACAGGCCACAGAUUCUCGUUCAAUGUACACUAAUUUUCAUUAAGGUAACAAGAGUUAUUUGGGAUACAUAAUGAAAUUAUGAUUUUACGAUUCUGUUAUCACACUAAGUAAUUUAGUAUCUACUGUGGUUUGCAAUGUAGCAUUAAUUUUACAAUCCUUCUGUGUUGUGUAUGUAAUAUAUUUCUGUAUGUUCAUGUGUAGAAUAAAUGAAUCGAAAUAAUUAUAAAAAUUAUAUUGGUAAUACUUUAGUUAUAUUGAUGUUGUUUUAGCUUUCGAUGCAGCGCUGGUCAUAUGUAUUGUUUUAUUUUAAAUUACAUUUAUACAUUAAUUUUAUACGUUGUUGAUUUAAAGGUUAAAAAAUAGUAUUUUUGAUUACUAUUAAUUUGUAAGUAAUAUCAAACGGCUAAUGAAACGGGAAGUACAACUUAGAAUGUAGCUUAAAAAAAUGGGUUUGUUCCCAUUUAUUGGUAUAUUAUAUUAUUCUUUGUUUUGUUUUUAGGAAAGGCCUAUUUCAUAUGUGUUCAAUAUAUUUUGUUAAGUUAAUAAAUGCAUAUAAUAAAAAGAAACAAGUACUUUGAAUUUUAUCUAUUCCUACUCACGGCAUUAAAUUUUAAUGGCAAAUGAUAUAGCAAGAAAAAUAAAAAAUAAAAUUGAAAUGAAAAUUGAAAACUAAAAUAAGCAAUAACAGUUUACCCCUUAAUUGAAGUGUAUCUACACGGAACGUUUGCAAAAUACAAAUGGAAUAUGCAUGUACCGAUUAGAAUACCGAUUUGUAUUGUAGUUGUCUAUAUAGCUCAGAUAGCGCUCCUCGCUUGAGAUAGAAUCCUUUUUAGCAAAAUUCAAUUUUAUUUGCUAUUUAUUUUGUUAUGUAACGUCAAC